This 492-nucleotide ribosomal RNA is filed under the name uncultured bacterium. RNAcentral describes it as "partial 16S ribosomal RNA". It matches the Rfam family "Bacterial small subunit ribosomal RNA", at positions 29 to 507 of the family's 1533-position model. The record is from RNAcentral.
AGUGAACGCUGGCGGUAGGCCUAACACAUGCAAGUCGAACGGCAGCACAGUAAGAGCUUGCUCUUACGGGUGGCGAGUGGCGGACGGGUGAGGAAUACAUCGGAAUCUACUUUUUCGUGGGGGAUAACGUAGGGAAACUUACGCUAAUACCGCAUACGACCUACGGGUGAAAGCAGGGGAUCUUCGGACCUUGCGCGAUUGAAUGAGCCGAUGUCGGAUUAGCUAGUUGGCGGGGUAAAGGCCCACCAAGGCGACGAUCCGUAGCUGGUCUGAGAGGAUGAUCAGCCACACUGGAACUGAGACACGGUCCAGACUCCUACGGGAGGCAGCAGUGGGGAAUAUUGGACAAUGGGCGUAAGCCUGAUCCAGCCAUACCGCGUGGGUGAAGAAGGCCUUCGGGUUGUAAAGCCCUUUUGUUGGGAAAGAAAAGCAGCAGGUUAAUACCCCGCUGCUCUGACGGUACCCAAAGAAUAAGCACCGGCUAACUUCGUG